Molecule: ribosomal RNA, 453 nt
Filed under: uncultured bacterium
Lineage: Bacteria
Description: partial 16S ribosomal RNA
Rfam family: Bacterial small subunit ribosomal RNA
Source: RNAcentral
AUGAACGCUGACAGAAUGCUUAACACAUGCAAGUCAACUUGAACUUCGGUUUGGGUGGCGGACGGGUGAGUAACGCGUAAAGAACUUGCCUCACAGCUAGGGACAACAUUUGGAAACGAAUGCUAAUACCUGAUAUUAUGAUUAUAUGGCAUCGUAUAAUUAUGAAAGCUAUAUGCGCUGUGAGAGAGCUUUGCGUCCCAUUAGCUAGUUGGAGAGGUAACAGCUCACCAAGGCGAUGAUGGGUAGCCGGCCUGAGAGGGUGAUCGGCAACAAGGGGACUGAGACACGGCCCUUACUCCUACGGGAGGCAGCGGGGGGGAAUAUUGGACAAUGGACCGAGAGUCUGAUCCAGCAAUUCUGUGUGCACGAUGAAGUUUUUCGGAAUGUAAAGUGCUUUCAGUUGGGAAGAAAAAAAUGACGGUACCAACAGAAGAAGUGACGGCUAAAUACGUG